GGGGAUUUAGCUCAGUGGUAGAGCGCUUGCCUGGCAAGCACAAGGCCCUGGGUUCGGUUCCCAGCUCCA
Molecule: transfer RNA, 69 nt
Filed under: Rattus norvegicus (Norway rat)
Lineage: Eukaryota; Metazoa; Chordata; Mammalia; Rodentia; Muridae
Rfam family: tRNA
About the family: Transfer RNA (tRNA) molecules are approximately 80 nucleotides in length. Their secondary structure includes four short double-helical elements and three loops (D, anti-codon, and T loops).
Source: Rfam by way of RNAcentral